Molecule: long non-coding RNA, 732 nt
Organism: Lolium perenne
Lineage: Eukaryota; Viridiplantae; Streptophyta; Magnoliopsida; Poales; Poaceae
Source: RefSeq, a predicted model, not a curated record
GUGGCCGCCGCCUCCUCGGCAUCUGCAACAACCCUAAAUCGUUCUCCUCCGCGGCCCAGUCCGCUGCAACGCCGCUGCUCUCCUUGCCAGCGGGAUCAGAGUCGGUGGCCACCGUCCCCACCCUCGCCCGCUUGAUCGUAACUCAAGGAAGAUAUGGCCAAUGUGCGCGAGGAGUGUAAGGAGUACCAUGAGAACGCAAGCAAGACGUUGCUAGCGAGGAUGACGGAUUCAAGUUCUACAACAGUUAUGCCCUUUAGAAAGGAUAUAGUGUACGGAGAAGCUACAUUGAGUGGGAUGGAGCCAACAAGGAGAUAAUUCUGAUGAAAUUUGUCUAUAGUCGCGAAGGUUGUCGUGAAGAGAAGCACAUGAAGAGGAAGAGAGAAGAUAGGAUAUGAUACAAAUCGUCAACGAGCAGACCAUGAGAAGAAGAAGGCGUGCAACUAAUGGAAAUAGAGCACAAACUUGACGCCAAACUAAUUACCAUAAAUGAGGUCUAAGUAACUGUUAUCGGUUACAAAUCCUUGUGGCCGUGUGCUUUAGUGGUGUGGCAUGCAAAUGUACUGCACACACAUAGGUUUCAGUUUUCAGGUUUAUCACAAACAUUGAUACUUCCAUCGUUUGUAUCUCAGAUUUUCAGUUUGCACGUGUAAAUCUGCUACUGUAAUCUGUUAAAAAUAACUGCUGGUUUGAUGAUCUGAGUCCAUUCAAUCUUAGCAUAAACAUUGUAUACAA